CUACACCCUCAAGCCCCGCUUGGCUGGUUGGGCCGGCGUCCACCCACGGCCUUUGUGCCCCGGGGGGGACGGGCCCGAAAGGUAGUGGCGGCUCCCGGAGGGUGGUCCUUUGGGGCGGUGAUACAUGGGUUGUCGUCUUCCGCCGCUCCGUUGGCCGCGCUCCGGGUGCCCGUCGAACGAUUGGUCUUCCCCUUUAGG
This 198-nucleotide unclassified non-coding RNA is filed under the name uncultured Elaphomyces. RNAcentral describes it as "sequence contains ITS2". The record is from RNAcentral. Lineage: Eukaryota; Fungi; Ascomycota; Eurotiomycetes; Eurotiales; Elaphomycetaceae.